Molecule: ribosomal RNA, 544 nt
Filed under: uncultured bacterium
Lineage: Bacteria
Description: bacterial SSU rRNA
Rfam family: Archaeal small subunit ribosomal RNA
Source: RNAcentral
AGCGAAUAGAUACCCUGGUAGUCCCAGCCGUAAACGAUGCUCGCUAGGUGUCAGGCAUGGCGCGACCGUGUCUGGUGCCGCAGGGAAGCCGUGAAGCGAGCCACCUGGGAAGUACGGCCGCAAGGCUGAAACUUAAAGGAAUUGGCGGGGAGCACAACAACGGGUGGAGCCUGCGGUUUAAUUGGACUCAACGCCGGACAACUCACCGGGGGCGGACAGCAAUAUGUAGGCCAGGCUGAAGACCUUGCCUGAAUCGCUGAGAGGAGGUGCAUGGCCGUCGCCAGUUCGUACUGUGAAGCAUCCUGUUAAGUUCAGGCAACGAGCGAGACCCGUGCCCACUGUUACCAGCAUAUUCUCCGGAAUGAUGGGUACUCUGUGGGGACCGCCGAUGUUAAAUCGGAGGAAGGUGCGGGCCACGGUAGGUCAGUAUGCCCCGGAAUCUCCCGGGGCUACACGCGGGCUACAAUGGAUGGGACAAUGGGUCCCUACCCCGAAAGGGGUCUGGUAAUCUCACAAACCCCAUUCGUAGUUCGGAUCGAGGGCU